This 556-nucleotide long non-coding RNA is filed under the name Neogobius melanostomus (round goby). RNAcentral's name for it is "lncRNA (ENSNMLG00000010402.1)". Lineage: Eukaryota; Metazoa; Chordata; Actinopteri; Gobiiformes; Gobiidae. The record is from RNAcentral.
AUGAAGAGGUCUGUUAGGCGCGCUGUGACGUCAAUAUUUAAAACAAAAAUGGCGGAGGUAAACUCGGAAACUGCAGCGAACAGCAGUGCAUGUGUCGUAGUUAAAAAACUGCAAAAUGAGGUCAGAUCUUCCACGCGGUCAAUUAAAAGAUUUUCUUCCGAAAACAUAGCUCCUGCUCCCAAAUCUCCGCGCACCGAGAUCUCACCCUCAGAGGCCGAUAGACGACCAGAGGCGGAUAAACAGGACCUGGACUGCGAGGACACAGAACAGCAAACAUGCCCCAGAAGUCCCCCAGCCAGACGCAAAUCCUGGAGAAGGGCCACAUUAGGCCGCCGCUCUCUCCCUGCGCUCUUCAACCCUUAUCAAGUUCUUUGCAGAAACAUAAGCACGUCUUUGUCAACGCAAGAAAGACUGGAAAAGUUGAUGGUGGCUUCAAUGAAGGUAAGUACAAAGGCACACCUUAAGACUGAACAAUCAUAUUUACAAAUUAUUGUUAUUGCAAUAUUAGGUUACACAAUAUGCAAAAUCACUGAAGGUCUUCCACUUGGCUGAUAUU